UACGAAGGGGGCUAGCGUUGCUCGGAAUCACUGGGCGUAAAGCGCACGUAGGCGGCUUUCUAAGUCAGGGGUGAAAUCCUGGAGCUCAACUCCAGAACUGCCUUUGAUACAGCAUAUCUUGAGUCCGAUAGAGGUGGGUGGAAUUCCUAGUGUAGAGGUGAAAUUCGUAGAUAUUAGGAAGAACACCGGUGGCGAAGGCGGCUCACUGGACUGGUAUUGACGCUGAGGUGCGAAAGCGUGGGGAGCAAACAGG
This 253-nucleotide ribosomal RNA is filed under the name uncultured bacterium. RNAcentral describes it as "partial 16S ribosomal RNA". It matches the Rfam family "Bacterial small subunit ribosomal RNA", at positions 524 to 776 of the family's 1533-position model. The record is from RNAcentral.